CAGAUGGUGUGAGCUUGCAGGCCAGAAGAAGUGUGUCAGAGCUCUGUAGGUGUCUGCAGUGGUGUGCAAGCAUCUGUAGAAGUCUGCCCAGAGAUCUUAUUUGCUUUACCCAAAAUCAAGUUGGAGAGAUGUGUGGAGCCUCAGCCACAGACCCUGACUGUUGGGGGGAUGCUUUCAUGGCAGAAAGCGGAGCUGUUCGAAACCCAGUUCUCCUUGCAAGUGGUUAAGAAUUGGAUUCCCUUUGGAAAAUGGGGACAGAGACAUCUCUCUGCUGCCUGAGUUCGCCUGGUGAAUUCAUGGGGGGAAGGGCAGGAAACUCCCAAAUGACCACAUCUGUACUUAAUAGAAUGAAGAUUAUGGAGGGAAAAGUGAGGUGACUUCAGAGCAGAGAAGUGAUGUUGCAGAGGAAAAAGCUGAACAGGUCUAUUGGGAAGAAAACAAACUCUGGAGGAAAAAUCUGAGGUAAACAAGAGGACACAGGUGACAUUUUCUAUUCAAAAAAGUGAACAAGUCUCUAGGGGAUAAAAAUGAAGAUUGUAGGAGGAAAAAGCUGAGGUGAUUAGGUGGGACAGAGCCGACAUUGUGAAUGGAAAAACAUAAUGUAAUCCAUAGGGGAGAAAAGGAGCAUU
Molecule: long non-coding RNA, 629 nt
Organism: Pogoniulus pusillus (Red-fronted tinkerbird)
Lineage: Eukaryota; Metazoa; Chordata; Aves; Piciformes; Lybiidae
Exons: 4
Source: RefSeq, a predicted model, not a curated record